UAGAGCUUUGGAAGGGUCCAGCAGCCACUCUGGGCCAUGGGACAAGCACAAAAUUCUGAACCAUUCCAUAAUCUCUAUAACUGAUUGGACCAUGGGAGAGAUGUCUAGAUUUGGAAAUGUUUCAGGCCAGAUGCACAUAUCUCAUGAGAAAAAAUGUGGAUUAUAGCCAGCAUGUAAUAACUAUUCUAGUGCUGUUUCAUAGGAAUAAAAAGCAUUUUAAGACAGAGAUCUGCCUUCCCUCUCAGCUGCUGGAAGUGUGCCCUGCUCUGGGAGUCAGCGUGAGCAGCGGGAGCUCAAAGGCACAUUUGACAUUUUAUUUGAAUUUUGUGCAGUUAUCGGAUGCUUUUUCUUUGUUUUGGGCUUGUUUGGGCUUUUCUCAAGCUUUAGCCUUUCUGGGCACAGGCUUCUUCCUAUUGAUUUGCUUUUGCAGGCAGAAACAGAUGUGGAUGACUUUGAAAACUGGCAAAGGGACAGUGAAUUGGACUCUGCAACAGGAAUGGGAUGCAGAACAGUGCAACAGAGUGUCCUGCAGCAAAACGAGACGGACCUUCAUGCAGUGUCAGCUCCAGCACUGGUGAGCUGGUGGGGAACCAAACAGCAUAGCAAAUCUGCAUGCAUGCAUGUAACACAAUGGAAGUUUAAGCCAACAAUAUCAUAUGAAAGAAGGACUUCAUUAUCAAUAUACUACUAAAGGGUUGAGAUAUUUAGAAAACAAAGAAUAAAAGCAACUGUUGUGUUGAGAAUGUUGUCCAGCUGCCUUGCAUGUCCCCUUCAUGUUCAGCCCAGGAAGCCACAUGCCUGCCUCGGUGAGGACUGUUUGCAUUCAGAGAAGCAAUAUUCAACAUUUGUUGUUUCAAUACCUGAAGUUGUGACCACUGAAAACUUGGAGGAGCUGCUUCAUUGAGCACGGAGCUCGUGACGAGAGGCCUGAAAGCAGGAAUUCAGAGCUCCUACUAACAAAUGGAAAAGAAACUUUGGAGUGUGGACCUAAGUAAUAGAAUCAUCAAAUCAUUUAGUUUGGAAAAGACCACUGAGAUCAUCUAGUCCAACCAUCAACCCAUCCCCACCAUGGCCACUAACCAUGUCCCUCAGUGCUACAUCUACACAUUCCUUGAACACCUCCAGGAAGUGACUUCACCACCUCCCUGGGCAGCCUGUGCCAAUGCAUCACCACUCCUGAGAAGAAAAUUUUCAUAAUAUCCAACCUGAACCUCCCCUGGCACAAUGUAAGGCCAUUCUGUCUUGACUUAUUGCUGUAACCUGGGAGAAGAGGCUGACCCUCACCCCAUCACAACCUCCCUUCAGGAAGUUGUAGAGAGUAAUAAUGUCUCUCCUGAGACUCUAGUCAUGGGUAGGACAACCCAACCUACAAAGAUAAAAGUGAACAUCACAAUUAUUUACAAUAUUUACAAUGACUUUAGACAGAAAUCUGAGUCAAAUCAACCCAUGGAAUUGCUUUGCUUCUAAAACUUAAUAUACAUUACAGUUAAACCACAAUAGUAAAAUCCCCACUAAACAUGAGGAAAGGGAAAUGGCAAGCUGACUGCAGUAAGAUGUAAAAGCUUGUCUGAACUCAGAUGUGCCCUAUGUGGUUCCUGGACACAGGGCAGUUUCCAUGAAAUGCCCCACAUCUGACCCUUGGACAAAAUGUCACCUCAUCUAAUCUGUCUGGUGGGACCAAGCCCAGACUGUGCUAACCCCCUAGAUGUGCCUAAAGAUGGGUUGAGAGAAGAACUCUGAGUGCCUGUAUCUAGGAACACUCCUUCAAAGUGUUUAAUUUCCUAGAAUUGUAAAGUCAUUUGAGCUGGAAGGGACCCUUAAAGACCAUCUAGUCCAAGUCCCCUGCAAUGAACAGGGACACUUACAGCUAGAUCAGGUGCUCAGAGCCCCAUCCAGCCUGACCUUGAAUGUCUCCAGAGACAGAGCAUCCAUCACCUCUCCAGGCAACUUUUGCCACUGCCUCGCCACUCUUGUUAUAAGAAAACUUUUUCCUUAUAUCCAAUCGAAACCUCCCCUCUUCUAGUUUGAAACCAUUUCCCUUUGUUCUGUCACAGCAGACCCUGCUAAAGAGUCUGUCCCCUUCUUUCUUACAGAUCCCCUUUAGAUAUUGAAAGGCCACUCUCAAAUAUCCACAAAGAGAGGGGAAACUUUCUCCUCUCCAGGCUGAACAGCCCCAGCUCUCUCGGUCUGUCCUCAUAGGAGAGGUGUUCCAUCUCCAGGAUCACUGUUGUGGCCAUCCUCUGGAUGUGCUCCAACAGGUCUGUGUCUCUCUUGUACUGUGG
This 2282-nucleotide long non-coding RNA is filed under the name Gallus gallus (chicken). RNAcentral describes it as "lncRNA (ENSGALG00010006605.1)". The record is from RNAcentral. Lineage: Eukaryota; Metazoa; Chordata; Aves; Galliformes; Phasianidae.